UACGUAGGGUGCAAGCGUUGUCCGGAAUUAUUGGGCGUAAAGAGCUCGUAGGCGGUCUGUCGCGUCUGCUGUGAAAACCUAGGGCUUAACUCUGGGCGUGCAGUGGGUACGGGCAGGCUAGAGUGCGGUAGGGGAGACUGGAAUUCCUGGUGUAGCGGUGAAAUGCGCAGAUAUCAGGAGGAACACCGGUGGCGAAGGCGGGUCUCUGGGCCGUAACUGACGCUGAGGAGCGAAAGCGUGGGGAGCGAACAGG
RNAcentral lists this ribosomal RNA (253 nucleotides) under uncultured bacterium. Its description in RNAcentral is "partial 16S ribosomal RNA". It matches the Rfam family "Bacterial small subunit ribosomal RNA", at positions 524 to 776 of the family's 1533-position model. The record is from RNAcentral.